AGGAGCCGUGCGAGAUGAAAGUCUCAUGCAUGGUUUUGAAUGAGAGAAAUAAGUGAGGAAUCCUCUUUUAUAAUCUAACUCUCC
Molecule: non-coding RNA, 84 nt
Organism: Gossypium hirsutum (cotton)
Lineage: Eukaryota; Viridiplantae; Streptophyta; Magnoliopsida; Malvales; Malvaceae
Source: Rfam